GCGGAUGUGCUGGAAUUGGUAGACAGGCAACGUUGAGGUCGUUGUGUGCUAUGCACGUGAGGGUUCAAGUCCCUCCAUCCGCA
Molecule: transfer RNA, 83 nt
Filed under: Bermanella marisrubri
Lineage: Bacteria; Pseudomonadati; Pseudomonadota; Gammaproteobacteria; Oceanospirillales; Oceanospirillaceae
Rfam family: tRNA
About the family: Transfer RNA (tRNA) molecules are approximately 80 nucleotides in length. Their secondary structure includes four short double-helical elements and three loops (D, anti-codon, and T loops). Further hydrogen bonds mediate the characteristic L-shaped molecular structure. tRNAs have two regions of fundamental functional importance: the anti-codon, which is responsible for specific mRNA codon recognition, and the 3' end, to which the tRNAs corresponding amino acid is attached (by aminoacyl-tRNA synthetases). tRNAs cope with the degeneracy of the genetic code in two manners: having more than one tRNA (with a specific anti-codon) for a particular amino acid; and 'wobble' base-pairing, i.e. permitting non-standard base-pairing at the 3rd anti-codon position.
Source: Rfam by way of RNAcentral